This 28-nucleotide ribosomal RNA is filed under the name Cortinarius putorius. RNAcentral's name for it is "partial 28S ribosomal RNA". Lineage: Eukaryota; Fungi; Basidiomycota; Agaricomycetes; Agaricales; Cortinariaceae. The record is from RNAcentral.
UGUGACCUCAAAUCAGGUAGGACUACCC